AGGACGAACGCUGGCGGCGUGCCUAAUACAUGCAAGUCGAACGCUUCUUUUUCCACCGGAGCUUGCUCCACCGGAAAAAGAGGAGUGGCGAACGGGUGAGUAACACGUGGGUAACCUGCCCAUCAGAAGGGGAUAACACUUGGAAACAGGUGCUAAUACCGUAUAACAAUCGAAACCGCAUGGUUUUGAUUUGAAAGGCGCUUUCGGGUGUCGCUGAUGGAUGGACCCGCGGUGCAUUAGCUAGUUGGUGAGGUAACGGCUCACCAAGGCCACGAUGCAUAGCCGACCUGAGAGGGUGAUCGGCCACAUUGGGACUGAGACACGGCCCAAACUCCUACGGGAGGCAGCAGUAGGGAAUCUUCGGCAAUGGACGAAAGUCUGACCGAGCAACGCCGCGUGAGUGAAGAAGGUUUUCGGAUCGUAAAACUCUGUUGUUAGAGAAGAACAAGGAUGAGAGUAACUGUUCAUCCCUUGACGGUAUCUAACCAGAAAGCCACGGCUAACUACGUGCCAGCAGCCGCGGUAAUACGUAGGUGGCAAGCGUUGUCCGGAUUUAUUGGGCGUAAAGCGAGCGCAGGCGG
This 581-nucleotide ribosomal RNA is filed under the name Enterococcus faecium TX0133a04. RNAcentral describes it as "bacterial SSU rRNA". It matches the Rfam family "Bacterial small subunit ribosomal RNA", at positions 26 to 578 of the family's 1533-position model. The record is from RNAcentral. Lineage: Bacteria; Bacillati; Bacillota; Bacilli; Lactobacillales; Enterococcaceae.